GAUUAUGGCUCAGAUUGAACGCUGGCGGCAGGCUUAACACAUGCAAGUCGAGCGGGGAUAGGGUGCUUGCACCUGAUUCCUAGCGGCGGACGGGUGAGUAAUGCUUAGGAAUCUGCCUAUUAUGGGGGACAACGUUCCGAAAGGGACGCUAAUACCGCAUACGUCCUACGGGAGAAAGCAGGGGAUCUUCGGACCUUGCGCUAAUAGAUGAGCCUAAGUCGGAUUAGCUAGUUGGUGGGGUAAAGGCCUACCAAGGCGACGAUCUGUAGCGGGUCUGAGAGGAUGAUCCGCCACACUGGGACUGAGACACGGCCCAGACUCCUACGGGAGGCAGCAGUGGGGAAUAUUGGACAAUGGGGGCAACCCUGAUCCAGCCAUGCCGCGUGUGUGAAGAAGGCCUUUUGGUUGUAAAGCACUUUAAGCGAGGAGGAGGCCUACCUGGUUAAUACCCGGGAUAAGUGGACGUUACUCGCAGAAUAAGCACCGGCUAACUCUGUGCCAGCAGCGGC
Molecule: ribosomal RNA, 509 nt
Filed under: uncultured bacterium
Lineage: Bacteria
Description: bacterial SSU rRNA
Rfam family: Bacterial small subunit ribosomal RNA
Source: RNAcentral